This 668-nucleotide ribosomal RNA is filed under the name uncultured bacterium. RNAcentral's name for it is "bacterial SSU rRNA". It matches the Rfam family "Bacterial small subunit ribosomal RNA", at positions 54 to 702 of the family's 1533-position model. The record is from RNAcentral.
CAUGCAGUCGAGCGGCAGCGACAACAUUGAACCUUCGGGGGAUUUGUUGGGCGGCGAGCGGCGGACGGGUGAGUAAUGCCUGGGAAAUUGCCCUGAUGUGGGGGAUAACCAUUGGAAACGAUGGCUAAUACCGCAUGAUAGCUUCGGCUCAAAGAGGGGGACCUUCGGGCCUCUCGCGUCGGGAUAUGCCUAGGUGGGAUUAGCUAGUUGGUGAGGUAAGGGCUCACCAAGGCGACGAUCCCUAGCUGGUCUGAGAGGAUGAUCAGCCACACUGGAACUGAGACACGGUCCAGACUCCUACGGGAGGCAGCAGUGGGGAAUAUUGCACAAUGGGCGCAAGCCUGAUGCAGCCAUGCCGCGUGUAUGAAGAAGGCCUUCGGGUUGUAAAGUACUUUCAGUCGUGAGGAAGGCGGGUAUGUUAAUAGCAUAUUCGUUUGACGUUAGCGACAGAAGAAGCACCGGCUAACUCCGUGCCAGCAGCCGCGGUAAUACGGAGGGUGCGAGCGUUAAUCGGAAUUACUGGGCGUAAAGCGCAUGCAGGUGGUUUGUUAAGUCAGAUGUGAAAGCCCGGGGCCCAACCUCGGAAUAGCAUUUGAAACUGGCAGACUAGAGUACUGUAGAGGGGGGUAGAAUUUCACGUGUAGCGGUGAAAUGCGUAGAGAUCUGAA